AGAGUUUGAUCAUGGCUCAGAUUGAACGCUGGCGGCAGGCCUAACACAUGCAAGUCGAGCGGUAGCACAGAGAGCUUGCUCUCGGGUGACGAGCGGCGGACGGGUGAGUAAUGUCUGGGAAACUGCCUGAUGGAGGGGGAUAACUACUGGAAACGGUAGCUAAUACCGCAUAAUGUCGCAAGACCAAAGUGGGGGACCUUCGGGCCUCAUGCCAUCAGAUGUGCCCAGAUGGGAUUAGCUAGUAGGUGGGGUAACGGCUCACCUAGGCGACGAUCCCUAGCUGGUCUGAGAGGAUGACCAGCCACACUGGAACUGAGACACGGUCCAGACUCCUACGGGAGGCAGCAGUGGGGAAUAUUGCACAAUGGGCGCAAGCCUGAUGCAGCCAUGCCGCGUGUGUGAAGAAGGCCUUCGGGUUGUAAAGCACUUUCAGCGGGGAGGAAGGCGAUAAGGUUAAUAACCUUGUCGAUUGACGUUACCCGCAGAAGAAGCACCGGCUAACUCCGUGCCAGCAGCCGCGGUAAUACGGAGGGUGCAAGCGUUAAUCGGAAUUACUGGGCGUAAAGCGCACGCAGGCGGUCUGUCAAGUCGGAUGUGAAAUCCCCGGGCUUAACCUGGGAACUGCAUUCGAAACUGGCAGGCUAGAGUCUUGUAGAGGGGGGUAGAAUUCCAGGUGUAGCGGUGAAAUGCGUAGAGAUCUGGAGGAAUACCGGUGGCGAAGGCGGCCCCCUGGACAAAGACUGACGCUCAGGUGCGAAAGCGUGGGGAGCAAACAGGAUUAGAUACCCUGGUAGUCCACGCCGUAAACGAUGUCGAUUUGGAGGUUGUGCCCUUGAGGCGUGGCUUCCGGAGCUAACGCGUUAAAUCGACCGCCUGGGGAGUACGGCCGCAAGGUUAAAACUCAAAUGAAUUGACGGGGGCCCGCACAAGCGGUGGAGCAUGUGGUUUAAUUCGAUGCAACGCGAAGAACCUUACCUGGUCUUGACAUCCACAGAACUUUCCAGAGAUGGAUUGGUGCCUUCGGGAACUGUGAGACAGGUGCUGCAUGGCUGUCGUCAGCUCGUGUUGUGAAAUGUUGGGUUAAGUCCCGCAACGAGCGCAACCCUUAUCCUUUGUUGCCAGCGGUUCGGCCGGGAACUCAAAGGAGACUGCCAGUGAUAAACUGGAGGAAGGUGGGGAUGACGUCAAGUCAUCAUGGCCCUUACGACCAGGGCUACACACGUGCUACAAUGGCAUAUACAAAGAGAAGCGACCUCGCGAGAGCAAGCGGACCUCAUAAAGUAUGUCGUAGUCCGGAUUGGAGUCUGCAACUCGACUCCAUGAAGUCGGAAUCGCUAGUAAUCGUAGAUCAGAAUGCUACGGUGAAUACGUUCCCGGGCCUUGUACACACCGCCCGUCACACCAUGGGAGUGGGUUGCAAAAGAAGUAGGUAGCUUAACCUUCGGGAGGGCGCUUACCACUUUGUGAUUCAUGACUGGGGUGAAGUCGUAACAAGGUAACCGUAGGGGAACCUGCGGUUGGAUCACCU
RNAcentral lists this ribosomal RNA (1528 nucleotides) under Klebsiella pneumoniae. RNAcentral describes it as "bacterial SSU rRNA". It matches the Rfam family "Bacterial small subunit ribosomal RNA". Lineage: Bacteria; Pseudomonadati; Pseudomonadota; Gammaproteobacteria; Enterobacterales; Enterobacteriaceae. The record is from RNAcentral. RNAcentral also lists the same sequence under 5 other names.